Molecule: ribosomal RNA, 457 nt
Filed under: Streptomyces sp. MJG_7
Lineage: Bacteria; Bacillati; Actinomycetota; Actinomycetes; Kitasatosporales; Streptomycetaceae
Description: bacterial SSU rRNA
Rfam family: Bacterial small subunit ribosomal RNA
Source: RNAcentral
GUCGGUUGUGAAAGCCCCGGGCUUAACCCCGGGUCUGCAGUCGAUACGGGCAGGCUAGAGUUGGGUAGGGCAGAUCGGAAUUCCUGGUGUAGCGGUGAAAUGCGCAGAUAUCAGGAGGAACACGGGUGGCGAAGGCGGAUCUCUGGGCCGAUACUGACGCUGAGGAGCGAAAGCGUGGGGAGCGAACAGGAUUAGAUACCCUGGUAGUCCACGUCGUAAACGUUGGGCGCUAGGUGUGGGCGAGAUUCCACGUUGUCCGCGCGCAGCUAACGCAUUAAGUGCCCCCUUGGGGAGUACGGCCGCAAGGCUAAACUCAAAGGAAUUGACGGGGGCCCGCACAAGCGGGGGAGCAUGUGGCUUAAUUCGACGCAACGCGAAGAACCUUACCAAGGCUUGACAUCCACCGGAAACGGCCCGAGACGGUCCCCCCCUUGUGGUCGGUGUACAGGUGGUGCAU